This 670-nucleotide ribosomal RNA is filed under the name uncultured archaeon. Its description in RNAcentral is "bacterial SSU rRNA". It matches the Rfam family "Archaeal small subunit ribosomal RNA", at positions 88 to 763 of the family's 1478-position model. The record is from RNAcentral.
GCUCAGUAACACGUGGAUAACCUACCCUCAGGAGGGGGAUAACCCCGGGAAACUGGGGAUAAUACCCCAUAGUCCAGGGACGCUGGAAUGCCCCCUGGUCCAAAGGUCCGCCGCCUGAGGAUGGGUCUGCGGCCGAUUACGUAGUUGUUGGGGUAACGGCCCAACAAGCCUUUGAUCGGUACGGGUUGUGAGAGCAAGAGCCCGGAGAUGGAUUCUGAGACACAAAUCCAGGCCCUACGGGGCGCAGCAGGCGCGAAAACUUUACAAUGCGAGAAAUCGUGAUAAGGGAACCCCGAGUGCCCGUAAAUUCGGGCUGUCCAUCAGCGUAAAAAACUGGUGAAGAAAGGGCCGGGCAAGACCGGUGCCAGCCGCCGCGGUAAUACCGGCGGCUCGAGUGGUGGCCACUAUUACUGGGCUUAAAGCGUCCGUAGCUGGAUUGUUAAGUCUCUUGGGAAAUCCACCGGCUCAACCGAUGGGCGUUCAGGAGAAACUGGCAAUCUAGGGACCGGGAGAGGUGAGAGGUACUUCAGGGGUAGGAGUGAAAUCCUGUAAUCCUUGGGGGACCACCUGUGGCGAAGGCGUCUCACUAGAACGGCUCCGACAGUGAGGGACGAAAGCUGGGGGAGCAAACCGGAUUAAAUACCCGGGUAAUCCCAGCUGUAAACGAUGC